RNAcentral lists this ribosomal RNA (120 nucleotides) under uncultured bacterium. RNAcentral's name for it is "partial 16S ribosomal RNA". It matches the Rfam family "Bacterial small subunit ribosomal RNA", at positions 29 to 147 of the family's 1533-position model. The record is from RNAcentral.
AACGAACGCUGGCGGCGCGCUUAACACAUGCAAGUCGAACGGGGUGUCGGGCUUCGGCCUGGCACCUAGUGGCGCACGGGUGAGUAACGCGUGGGCACCUGCCCCGGGCUCCGGGACAAC